GAUGAACGCUGGCGGCGUGCCUAAUACAUGCAAGUCGAGCGAACAGAUGAGGAGCUUGCUCCUCUGACGUUAGCGGCGGACGGGUGAGUAACACGUGGAUAACCUACCUAUAAGACUGGGAUAACUUCGGGAAACCGGAGCUAAUACCGGAUAAUAUAUUGAACCGCAUGGUUCAAUAGUGAAAGACGGUUUUGCUGUCACUUAUAGAUGGAUCCGCGCCGCAUUAGCUAGUUGGUAAGGUAACGGCUUACCAAGGCAACGAUGCGUAGCCGACCUGAGAGGGUGAUCGGCCACACUGGAGCUGAGACACGGUCCAGACUCCUACGGGCGGCAGCAGUAGGGAAUCGUCCGCAAUGGGCGAAAGCCUGACGGAGCAACGCCGCGUGAGUGAUGAAGGUCUUCGGAUCGUAAAACUCUGUUAUUAGGGAAGAACAAAUGUGUAAGUAACUAUGCACGUCUUGACGGUACCUAAUCAGAAAGCCACGGCUAACUACGUG
This 497-nucleotide ribosomal RNA is filed under the name uncultured bacterium. Its description in RNAcentral is "partial 16S ribosomal RNA". It matches the Rfam family "Bacterial small subunit ribosomal RNA", at positions 28 to 507 of the family's 1533-position model. The record is from RNAcentral.